Molecule: small nuclear RNA, 114 nt
Filed under: Rosa chinensis
Lineage: Eukaryota; Viridiplantae; Streptophyta; Magnoliopsida; Rosales; Rosaceae
Description: sRNA RchiOBHm_Chr4g0422681
Rfam family: U2 spliceosomal RNA
About the family: U2 is a small nuclear RNA (snRNA) component of the spliceosome (involved in pre-mRNA splicing). Complementary binding between U2 snRNA (in an area lying towards the 5' end but 3' to hairpin I) and the branchpoint sequence (BPS) of the intron results the bulging out of an unpaired adenosine, on the BPS, which initiates a nucleophilic attack at the intronic 5' splice site, thus starting the first of two transesterification reactions that mediate splicing.
Source: Rfam by way of RNAcentral
AUACAUCUCUCAACCUUUUUGCUAAGAUUAAGUGUAGUAUAUGUUCUUAUCAGUUUAAUAUUUGAUACGUGGACCAAUGGAUCACAUGAUAUUGCGGCUCUCCUUUCACCUUAA